UUCGCAAUGCCCGAAAGGGUGACGAAGCGACGCCGCGUGAGUGAGGAAGGCCUUCGGGUUGUAAAGCUCUGUCAGGAGUUAAGAAAUAUAAGUGUGUUAAUACCGCAUUUAUUUGACAAAGGCUCCAAAGGAAGCCACGGCUAACUCUGUACCAGCAACCGCGGUAAUACAGAGGUGGCAAGCGUUGUUCGGUAUUAUUGGGCGUAAAGAGCACGUAGGUGGUUUUGUAAGUCAGAUGUGAAAGCCUUCUGUUCAAAGGAAGAACGGCAUCUGAAACUGCGAAUCUUGAGUGUAGGAGGGGAGAGUGGAACUUCUGGUGGAGCGGUGAAAUGCGUAGAUAUCAGAAGGAACGACAGCGGCGAAAGCGACUCUCUGGCCUAUUACUGACACUGAGUGUGCGAACGUUAGGGGAGCAAACGGGAUUAGAUACCCCGGUAGUCCUAACUGUAAACGAUGGGCACUAAGUAGAGGGGUUUUA
RNAcentral lists this ribosomal RNA (478 nucleotides) under uncultured bacterium. RNAcentral describes it as "bacterial SSU rRNA". It matches the Rfam family "Bacterial small subunit ribosomal RNA", at positions 365 to 833 of the family's 1533-position model. The record is from RNAcentral.